GUCUACUCAGAGUGCUUGGGUGGAGGUCUGUGUUCGGGGCCGUGGGCGCGCGUCUCGUGCGUGCGUUCUCGCGCUUCGGCGCUUCCUCUUUUGCUCACCUCUGUGCUCUUACUUGGAGGGGGUGACUUCUGUGUCACCUUGAGUAAAUCAUGGUGCUCACAGCAGUCGUGCGGGCCCUGUGCCCUGUGAACAGUCUAUGCGGACUGAAUUGGUUUUGCAAGGCAUGACGAAACAUGACGUCGCUGCUGGUCGCGAGUGUGAGGGUGCAGUCCUCGUGGCUGUGUCGAGCGGUUUGCCAGUAGUGACGUAAUGAUCAAUGGAGACGGUAGCUGGCAUUGGUAUUGCGCGGCGAGAGGUGAAAUUCUGCGACCCCCGCAAGACCUCCUAAAGCGAAGGCGUCUGCCAAGGACGUGUUCACCAAUCAUGAACGAAAGUCAGAGGAUCGAAGGCGAUCAGAUACCGCCCUAGUUCUGACCCUAAACGAUGCCAACCAUCAAUCCGCGUGAGCACCCUAUCUAACGGGCUCGGCGGGCAGCUCCCUUCUUCCGGGAAACCAGAGUUUUUGGGUUCCGGGGGGAGUCUGGUUGCAAAGCU
Molecule: ribosomal RNA, 594 nt
Filed under: Orchestia montagui
Lineage: Eukaryota; Metazoa; Arthropoda; Malacostraca; Amphipoda; Talitridae
Description: bacterial SSU rRNA
Rfam family: Eukaryotic small subunit ribosomal RNA
Source: RNAcentral